UGAGGAAUAUUGGUCAAUGGACGCAAGUCUGAACCAGCCAAGUAGCGUGCAGGAUGACGGCCCUAUGGGUUGUAAACUGCUUUUAUAUGGGGAUAAAGUGGGGAACGUGUUCCCUUUUGCAGGUACCAUAUGCAUAAGGACCGGCUAAUUCCGUGCCAGCAGCCGCGGUAAUACGGAAGGUUCGGGCGUUAUCCGGAUUUAUUGGGUUUAAAGGGAGCGUAGGCCGUUUGGUAAGCGUGUUGUGAAAUGUAGGAGCUCAACUUCUAGAUUGCAGCGCGAACUGUCAGACUUGAGUGCGCACAACGUAGGCGGAAUUCAUGGUGUAGCGGUGAAAUGCUUAGAUAUCAUGAAGAACUCCGAUUGCGAAGGCAGCUUACGGGAGCGCAACUGACGCUGAAGCUCGAAGGUGCGGGUAUCGAACAGG
Molecule: ribosomal RNA, 424 nt
Filed under: Verrucomicrobiota bacterium
Lineage: Bacteria; Pseudomonadati; Verrucomicrobiota
Description: Verrucomicrobia bacterium partial 16S ribosomal RNA
Rfam family: Bacterial small subunit ribosomal RNA
Source: RNAcentral